This is a non-coding RNA of Pantoea sp. PSNIH1, 73 nucleotides long. The record is from Rfam. Lineage: Bacteria; Pseudomonadati; Pseudomonadota; Gammaproteobacteria; Enterobacterales; Erwiniaceae.
GGAGCAGCAACGAUGUUACGCAGCAGGGCAGUCGCCCUAAAACAAAGUUAACCCAGGAUGAGAACCUUGAAAG